AAAUUGAAGAGUUUGAUCAUGGCUCAGAUUGAACGCUGGCGGCAGGCCUAACACAUGCAAGUCGAACGGUAACAGAAAGCAGCUUGCUGCUUUGCUGACGAGUGGCGGACGGGUGAGUAAUGUCUGGGAAACUGCCUGAUGGAGGGGGAUAACUACUGGAAACGGUAGCUAAUACCGCAUAACGUCGCAAGACCA
This 195-nucleotide ribosomal RNA is filed under the name Escherichia coli. RNAcentral's name for it is "partial 16S ribosomal RNA". It matches the Rfam family "Bacterial small subunit ribosomal RNA", at positions 1 to 203 of the family's 1533-position model. Lineage: Bacteria; Pseudomonadati; Pseudomonadota; Gammaproteobacteria; Enterobacterales; Enterobacteriaceae. The record is from RNAcentral.